UGUUGUUUAGUUGAGAAUCAAUUAAAUAAUUUUUGAUCUUGAGUAGUAUUGACUUCAUCAGCUUGCUGCUCUCUUUUCGGAAAUUAUUUAAUGCACUUUUCAGUUAACAAGUCAACAUCAAUUUCUUUUGUUGUAAAAGGGUAAGAGGAAGGUGGCUUACAUUUCGGUGUAAGUGUUUAUAGCCUUUUACCUCUGCAAUCGGAGAGAUUGAGGUCAGCAGCGUAGACUCUUCGGGGUUAGAUACACUUGUGCUAAGCUAUAGCCUUGUAUAGACAACUUGUUGACUAUGCUCAGUCAUGUAGCUUACUCGCUUGUAGUAUUUUACCUAC
This 329-nucleotide ribosomal RNA is filed under the name Neocallimastigales sp. Its description in RNAcentral is "partial large subunit ribosomal RNA". The record is from RNAcentral. Lineage: Eukaryota; Fungi; Neocallimastigomycota; Neocallimastigomycetes; Neocallimastigales.